GUGCUUGCUUCGGCAUCACAUAAAGUAAAAUUGGAAUGAUAUAGAGAAGAAUAGCAUGGCCCCUGCGCAAGAAGGCAGGUUUGAGAACUUGGGGAGCCAUUCAUGUCCUU
Non-coding RNA from Pteropus alecto (black flying fox), 110 nucleotides. NCBI's taxonomy places the organism in Eukaryota, Metazoa, Chordata, Mammalia, Chiroptera, Pteropodidae. The record is from Rfam.